This 71-nucleotide transfer RNA is filed under the name Caerostris extrusa. Its description in RNAcentral is "tRNA-Ile". It matches the Rfam family "tRNA", at positions 5 to 66 of the family's 71-position model. From Rfam's summary of the family: Transfer RNA (tRNA) molecules are approximately 80 nucleotides in length. Lineage: Eukaryota; Metazoa; Arthropoda; Arachnida; Araneae; Araneidae. The record is from RNAcentral.
CCAGUGGCGCAACUGGUUAGCGCGCGGUACUUAUAAUGCCGAGGUUGUGAGUUCGAUCCUCACCUGAACGU